Molecule: ribosomal RNA, 950 nt
Filed under: Gymnopus androsaceus
Lineage: Eukaryota; Fungi; Basidiomycota; Agaricomycetes; Agaricales; Omphalotaceae
Description: LSU rRNA
Rfam family: Eukaryotic large subunit ribosomal RNA
Source: RNAcentral
GCAUAUCUAUACGCGAGGAAAAGAAACUAACAAGGAUUCCCUAGUAACUGCGAGUGAAGAGGGAAAAGCUCAAAUUUAAAAUCUGGCAGUCUCCGAUUGUCCGAGUUGUAAUUUAGAGAAGUGUUACCCGUGUUGGACCGUGUACAAGUUUCCUGGAAUGGAACGUCAUAGAGGGUGAGAAUCCCCGUCUUUGACACGGAUCCCAAUGCAUUGUGGUAUGCUCUCGAAGAGUCGAGUUGUUUGGGAAUGCAGCUCUAAAUGGGUGGUAAAUUCCAUCUAAAGCUAAAUAUUGGGGAGAGACCGAUAGCGAACAAGUACCGUGAGGGAAAGAUGAAAAGAACUUUGGAAAGAGAGUUAAACAGUACGUGAAAUUGCUAAAAGGGAAACGCUUGAAGUCAGUCGCGUUGGCCAGGGAUCAGCCUUCCUUUUGGUUGGUGUACUUCCUGGUUGAUGGGUCAACAUCAGUUUUGACCGGUGGAUAAGAGUGGGAGGAAUGUGGCAUCUUCGGGUGUGUUAUAGCCUCUUAUUGUAUACAUCGGUUGGGACUGAGGAACUCAGCACGCCGCAAGGCCGGGUUUUUAACCACGUUCGUGCUUAGGAUGUUGGCAUAAUGGCUUUAAUCGACCCGUCUUGAAACACGGACCAAGGAGUCUAACAUGCCUGCGAGUGUUUGGGUGGAAAACCCGAGCGCGUAAUGAAAGUGAAAGUUAGGAUCUCUGUCGUGGAGAGCACUGACGCCCUGUCCAGACCUUUUGUGACGGUACAGCGGUUGAGCAUGUAUGUUGGGACCCGAAAGAUGGUGAACUAUGCCUGAAUAGGGUGAAGCCAGAGGAAACUCUGGUGGAGGCUCGUAGCGAUUUCUGACGUGCAAAUCGAUCGUCGAAAUUUGGGGUAUAGGGGGCGAAAAGACUAAUCGAAUCCAUCUAGUAGCCUGGGUUCCUGACCGAAGU